UACGGAGGGUGCAAGCGUUAAUCGGAAUUACUGGGCGUAAAGCGUGCGCAGGCGGUUUGUUAAGUCCGUUGUGAAAGCCCCGAGCUCAACUUGGGAAUUGCAGUGGAUACUGGCAGGCUGGAGUACGGUAGAGGAAGGUGGAAUUCCCGGUGUAGCAGUGAAGUGCGUAGAUAUCGGGAGGAACACCAGUGGCGAAGGCGGCCUUCUGGACCAGUACUGACGCUCAUGCACGAAAGCGUGGGGAGCAAACAGG
This 253-nucleotide ribosomal RNA is filed under the name uncultured bacterium. Its description in RNAcentral is "partial 16S ribosomal RNA". It matches the Rfam family "Bacterial small subunit ribosomal RNA", at positions 524 to 776 of the family's 1533-position model. The record is from RNAcentral.